Molecule: ribosomal RNA, 432 nt
Filed under: uncultured Sphingobacteriales bacterium
Lineage: Bacteria; Pseudomonadati; Bacteroidota; Sphingobacteriia; Sphingobacteriales
Description: bacterial SSU rRNA
Rfam family: Bacterial small subunit ribosomal RNA
Source: RNAcentral
UUCGAUGAUACGCGAGGAACCGUUACCUGGGCUCGAACGUAAGAUGACUGUAGGUGAAAGCUUACAUCUCUUCGGAGCAUUUUACGAGGUGCUGCAUGGUUGUCGUCAGCUCGUGCCGUGAGGUGUCGGGUUAAGUCCCAUAACGAGCGCAACCCUACCUUUAGUUGCCAUCAGGUAAUGCUGGGGACUCUAAAGGAACUGCCUACGCAAGUAGUGAGGAAGGCGGGGAUGACGUCAAAUCAGCACGGCCCUUACGUCCAGGGCUACACACGUGCUACAAUGGCCGAUACAGAGGGCAGCUACCUGGUGACAGGAUGCAAAUCUCCAAAGUCGGUCUCAGUUCGGAUCGGAGUCUGCAACCCGACUCCGUGAAGUUGGAUUCGCUAGUAAUCGCGCAUCAGCCAUGGCGCGGUGAAUACGUUCCCGGGCCUU